AGAAUUGAUCUUGGUCAGGAUGAACGCUAGCGGCAGGCUUAACACAUGCAAGUCGAGGGGCAUCGGGAGUAGCAAUACUUGCCGGCGACCGGCGCAAGGGUGCGUAACGCGUGAGCAACAUGCCCGUAUCAGGGGGGAUAAUCCAUGGAAACGUGGUCUAAUACCCCAUAGUAAUUAUGUAAGGCAUCUUAUAUAAUUUAAAGCUUUGGUGGAUACGGAUUGGCUCGCGUGACAUUAGCUAGAUGGUAAGGUAACGGCUUACCAUGGCUACGAUGUCUAGGGGUUCUGAGAGGAAGGUCCCCCACACUGGAACUGAGACACGGUCCAGACUCCUACGGGAGGCAGCAGUGAGGAAUAUUGGACAAUGGAUGGAAAUCUGAUCCAGCCAUGCCGCGUGCAGGAAGACGGCCCUAUGGGUUGUAAACUGCUUUUGUAUGGGAGCAAUAAGGGCUACGUGUAGUCCGAUGAGAGUACCAUACGAAUAAGCACCGGCUAACUCCGUGCCAGCCGCCGC
Molecule: ribosomal RNA, 514 nt
Filed under: uncultured bacterium
Lineage: Bacteria
Description: bacterial SSU rRNA
Rfam family: Bacterial small subunit ribosomal RNA
Source: RNAcentral